UGCCAGCAGCCGCGGUAAUACGUAUGGUGCGAACGUUGUUCGGAUUCACUGGGCAUAAAGAGCGCGUAGGCGGUUUGGUAAGUCUGUUGUGAAAGCCCUCGGCCUAACCGAGGAACUGCAAUGGAAACUACCGAACUAGAGUGCAGGAGGGGAGAGUGGAAUUCCUGGUGGAGCGGUGAAAUGCGUAGAUAUCAGGAGGAACGCCGGUGGCGAAAGCGACUCUCUGGCCUGCAACUGACGCUGAGGCGCGAAAGCUAGGGGAGCGAACGGGAUUAGAUA
This 279-nucleotide ribosomal RNA is filed under the name uncultured bacterium. RNAcentral's name for it is "partial 16S ribosomal RNA". It matches the Rfam family "Bacterial small subunit ribosomal RNA", at positions 506 to 784 of the family's 1533-position model. The record is from RNAcentral.